UACGUAGGGUGCAAGCGUUAAUCGGAAUUAUUGGGCGUAAAGGGUGCGCAGGCGGAUGUAUAAGUCGGAUGUGAAAGCCCCGGGCUCAACCCGGGAACUGCAUCCGAAACCAUCUCGCUCGAGUGUGGGAGAGGGAAGCGGAAUUCCUGGUGUAGAGGUGAAAUUCGUAGAUAUCAGGAGGAACACCGGCGGCGAAGGCGGCUUCCUGGCCCAUUACUGACGUUCAGGUACGAAAGCGUGGGUAGCAAACAGG
RNAcentral lists this ribosomal RNA (253 nucleotides) under uncultured bacterium. RNAcentral's name for it is "partial 16S ribosomal RNA". It matches the Rfam family "Bacterial small subunit ribosomal RNA", at positions 524 to 776 of the family's 1533-position model. The record is from RNAcentral.